RNAcentral lists this ribosomal RNA (252 nucleotides) under uncultured bacterium. RNAcentral's name for it is "partial 16S ribosomal RNA". It matches the Rfam family "Bacterial small subunit ribosomal RNA", at positions 15 to 244 of the family's 1533-position model. The record is from RNAcentral.
GAUCCUGGCUCAGGAUGAACGCUGGCGGCGUGCUUAACACAUGCAAGUCGAACGAAGACACUUAAAAUGAGAGCUUCGGCAGGAUUUUUAUUUAUCUUAGUGGCGGACGGGUGAGUAACGUGUGGGCAACCUGCCCUAUACUGGGGAAGUAAUCACUGGAAACGGUAGACUAAUACCGCAUGUCAUUACGGAAGGGCAUCCUUCUGUAAGAAAAGGAGUAAUUCGGUAUAGGAUGGGCCCGCAUCUGAUUAG